UUACGUCACAGCGCCGCGACUCGGCCUGUCCCAAUUCGAAGACUCCUUCAAAUGCGGUCGACGAAUGCGGCCUUCUUUUCGCCUGAAUGAAGGAUGGGUCGGGUGUAUCCUUCAAUAGGUAGCAUUUCCCAAGAUGCCUUGCGGGCCGGCCGGCAGAAAAACUUAAAAACAAUGGCGGACAGUGAAGCGGGAGCUGUCGGAGAGGAUUGCGCAUAUAAAUGACCAAAAGAGAAAACCAGGGAAUUUAUUAAGCUUAGGGCGGAGAUGGACCACAUGAUCACCGGAGCAAAGUAUUCGGCGGCUGUGGCAUGGAGACUAUUCUGGAGAAAAUGGGCAUCCAGGGGAAGGUGCCAGCGAUGAGCUUCUGGAGCUGAUCUGGGAGGACAUGAGGCUGCAGAGCAGCAGAGAGCACAGGAGAGAAGGAAGAACUUUGACAGCUUUUUACUUUGCUAGAAAAAAAUGGUUAAUGAAGAUUAAACAUGUACAUGUAAAAGAAAUAUCUAAAUAAAAUCAGUUCUGCAUUAAA
Molecule: non-coding RNA, 526 nt
Organism: Nothobranchius furzeri (turquoise killifish)
Lineage: Eukaryota; Metazoa; Chordata; Actinopteri; Cyprinodontiformes; Nothobranchiidae
Source: RefSeq, a predicted model, not a curated record